GCCUUUGUGGUGUAGUGGUCAGCACACUCGGCGCGUAUUCGAGAGGUCAGUGGUUCGAGUCCCGGCGAGGGCA
RNAcentral lists this transfer RNA (73 nucleotides) under Stegodyphus mimosarum. It matches the Rfam family "tRNA". From Rfam's summary of the family: Transfer RNA (tRNA) molecules are approximately 80 nucleotides in length. Their secondary structure includes four short double-helical elements and three loops (D, anti-codon, and T loops). Lineage: Eukaryota; Metazoa; Arthropoda; Arachnida; Araneae; Eresidae. The record is from Rfam by way of RNAcentral.